AUCCUGGCUCAGGACGAACGCUGGCGGCGUGCUUAACACAUGCAAGUCGAACGGAAAGGCCCUGCUUUUGUGGGGUGCUCGAGUGGCGAACGGGUGAGUAACACGUGAGUAACCUGCCCUUGACUUUGGGAUAACUUCAGGAAACUGGGGCUAAUACCGGAUAGGAGCUCCUGCUGCAUGGUGGGGGUUGGAAAGUUUCGGCGGUUGGGGAUGGACUCGCGGCUUAUCAGCUUGUUGGUGGGGUAGUGGCUUACCAAGGCUUUGACGGGUAGCCG
Molecule: ribosomal RNA, 275 nt
Filed under: Xanthomonas citri pv. citri
Lineage: Bacteria; Pseudomonadati; Pseudomonadota; Gammaproteobacteria; Lysobacterales; Lysobacteraceae
Description: partial 16S ribosomal RNA
Rfam family: Bacterial small subunit ribosomal RNA
Source: RNAcentral